GAUGAACGCUGGCGGCGUGCCUAAUACAUGCAAGUCGAGCGAAUGGAUUAAGAGCUUGCUCUUAUGAAGUUAGCGGCGGACGGGUGAGUAACACGUGAGUAACCUGCCCAUAAGACUGGGAUAACUCCGGGAAACCGGGGCUAAUACCGGAUAACAUUUUGAACCGCAUGGUUCGAAAUUGAAAGGCGGCUUCGGCUGUCACUUAUGGAUGGGCCCGCGUCGCAUUAGCUAGUUGGUGAGGUAACGGCUCACCAAGGCAACGAUGCGUAGCCGACCUGAGAGGGUGAUCGGCCACAAUGGGACUGAGACACGGCCCAGACUCCUACGGGAGGCAGCAGGAGGGAAUCUUCCGCAAUGGACGAAAGUCUGACGGAGCAACGCCGCGUGAGUGAUGAAGGCUUUCGGGUCGUAAAACUCUGUUGUUAGGGAAGAACAAGUGCUAGUUGAAUAAGCUGGCACCUUGACGGUACCUAACCAGAAAGCCACGGCUAACUACGUGCCAGCAGCCGCCGUAA
RNAcentral lists this ribosomal RNA (515 nucleotides) under uncultured bacterium. Its description in RNAcentral is "partial 16S ribosomal RNA". It matches the Rfam family "Bacterial small subunit ribosomal RNA", at positions 28 to 523 of the family's 1533-position model. The record is from RNAcentral.